This 497-nucleotide ribosomal RNA is filed under the name uncultured bacterium. Its description in RNAcentral is "partial 16S ribosomal RNA". It matches the Rfam family "Bacterial small subunit ribosomal RNA", at positions 28 to 507 of the family's 1533-position model. The record is from RNAcentral.
GAUGAACGCUGGCGGCGUGCCUAAUACAUGCAAGUCGAGCGAACAGACGAGGAGCUUGCUCCUCUGACGUUAGCGGCGGACGGGUGAGUAACACGUGGAUAACCUACCUAUAAGACUGGGAUAACUUCGGGAAACCGGAGCUAAUACCAGAUAAUAUAUUGAACCGCAUGGUUCAAUAGUGAAAGACGGUUUUGCUGUCACUUAUAGAUGGAUCCGCGCCGCAUUAGCUAGUUGGUAAGGUAACGGCUUACCAAGGCAACGAUGCGUAGCCGACCUGAGAGGGUGAUCGGCCACCCUGGAACUGAGACACGGUCCAGACUCCUACGGGAGGCAGCAGUAGGGAAUCUUACGCAAUGGGCGAAAGCCUGACGGAGCAGCGCCGAGCGAGUGAUGAAGGUCCUGGGAUCGUAAAACUCUGUUAUUAGGGAAGAACAAAUGUGUAAGUAACUAUGCACGGCGUGACGGUACCUAAUCAGAAAGCCACGGCUAACUACGUG